RNAcentral lists this ribosomal RNA (463 nucleotides) under uncultured bacterium. RNAcentral describes it as "partial 16S ribosomal RNA". It matches the Rfam family "Bacterial small subunit ribosomal RNA", at positions 28 to 507 of the family's 1533-position model. The record is from RNAcentral.
GACGAACGCUGGCGGCGUGCUUAACACAUGCAAGUCGAACGGAAAGGCCUUUUCGGAGGUACUCGAGUGGCGAACGGGUGAGUAACACGUGGGUGAUCUGCCCUGCACUCUGGGAUAAGCCUGGGAAACUGGGUCUAAUACCGGAUAGGACCGCACUUUAGUGUGUGUGGUGGAAAGUUUUUUCGGUGUAGGAUGAGCCCGCGGCCUAUCAGCUUGUUGGUGGGGUAAUGGCCUACCAAGGCGGCGACGGGUAGCCGGACUGAGAGGUUGGUCGGCCACAUUGGGACUGAGAGACGGCCCAGACUCCUGCGGGAGGCAGCAGUGGGGAAGACUGCACAAUGGGCGCAAGCCUGAUGCAGCGACGCCGCGUGGGGGAUGACGGCCUUCGGGUUGUAAACUCCUUUCGCCAGGGACGAAGCGUUUUGUGACGGUACCUGGAGAAGAAGCACCGGCUAACUACGUG